UAAAGGUGUGUAUCAAAAAGCCAGCCCACCU
RNAcentral lists this non-coding RNA (31 nucleotides) under Mus musculus (house mouse). The record is from RNAcentral. Lineage: Eukaryota; Metazoa; Chordata; Mammalia; Rodentia; Muridae.